GUGAGGGCUGAGGGGAAGGGAAAGAGUUUCUGACAUCUUGAGCUGGGAUUAAGAGGAAGAAAGCUUUAAGGUAGUGGAAAGGUAAGGGUCACAGACAGGCUAGACUCAAGAACAGAGCUGAAUGAAUUACAGAGGGGUGCUAUCUGGUCCGCUGGGCCACUGGGAAGAGCUCUCAGGUCCCAGUCAGCUUCAGCUCUCGUAAGAAUAUCCAGGUUACCACAUAAAUGAUAGCCUAGGUCUUCCAUGGGAAACUAAUCUGAGCUAAAUCUACCUGUGCUCUGUUAUCUUAUUCUCUCUUUGCUUCUUACCCUGUGAAAGGAAGUGGACCUCUUCUGGCAUCUCAUACUACUAUGUUCUUUUCCCUGGGAUCCAAGUUCUAGUUCAUAAAGACCACGUUUUGCAACUUCCUAUAAAUGGUUGAGAAGAGCAAGCUGUCCGACAGUGAGGGGGCUGAAAAGUGUGGUGGAUAGUGAGGGGGAAAAGGCCUAUGUAAGC
RNAcentral lists this long non-coding RNA (495 nucleotides) under Bos taurus (domestic cattle). RNAcentral describes it as "long non-coding RNA NONBTAT018180". Lineage: Eukaryota; Metazoa; Chordata; Mammalia; Artiodactyla; Bovidae. The record is from RNAcentral.